CCGGUGACCGGUUACAUUGUGUCAAGACUGACAGAAAUAUAUUGUGAUUUGCAUGAAGAGGGCGUGAUCGUUAAGUUUGUUGGAUUUUGCUUUGUUUAUUAGAUCAGAUUCACAAAAGCCGCACAGAAAUGAGCGACUUUGGCGGACCAGGUCCUUCCCGACAAGGCCGCGGGGGCAACGGCAAUAGACGCCCAUGGCGGCAAAGAUCGCACGACGGCAGGGGUCGAGGAGCUAGUGCGGCGCGCGGUGGCCGCGGCCGGGGUAGUGGCGCAGCCCG
Long non-coding RNA from Cydia fagiglandana, 277 nucleotides. RefSeq lists it as uncharacterized. The record is from RefSeq and is a predicted model, not a curated record. Lineage: Eukaryota; Metazoa; Arthropoda; Insecta; Lepidoptera; Tortricidae. The transcript has 3 exons.